AUAGAUACCCCACUAUGCUUAGCCCUAAACAUAAGUACUCAACUAACAAGAAUACUCGCCAGAGAACUACUAGCUACUGCUUAAAACUCAAAGGACUUGGCGGUGCUUUACACCCCUCUAGAGGAGCCUGUUCUGUAAUCGAUAAACCCCGCUAAACCUGACCACUCUUUGCAACGUCAGCUUAUAUACCGCCAUCUUCAGCAAACCCUAACAAGGCACCAUAGUAAGCACAAUAAUUACACAUAAAAACGUUAGGUCAAGGUGUAGCCUAUAGAGUGGGAAGAAAUGGGCUACAUUUUCUAACUCCUAGAACAUCUCACGACAGCUGUCAUGAAAUAUGAUUAGCCUAAGGCGGAUUUAGUAGUAAGCUGGGAAUAGAGUGCCCGGCUGAAUCGGGCAAUAAAGCACGCACACACCG
RNAcentral lists this ribosomal RNA (418 nucleotides) under Microsciurus alfari (Central American dwarf squirrel). RNAcentral's name for it is "partial 12S ribosomal RNA". It matches the Rfam family "Bacterial small subunit ribosomal RNA", at positions 778 to 1392 of the family's 1533-position model. The record is from RNAcentral. Lineage: Eukaryota; Metazoa; Chordata; Mammalia; Rodentia; Sciuridae.